UGCCAGCCGCCGCGGUAAUACGGAGGGUGCAAGCGUUAAUCGGAAUUACUGGGUGUAAAGGGAGCGCAGGCGGGUUAGUAAGUUAGGGGUGAAAUCCCGGGGCUCAACCCCGGAACUGCCUCUAAUACUGCUAGUCUUGAGUUCGAGAGAGGUGAGUGGAAUUCCGAGUGUAGAGGUGAAAUUCGUAGAUAUUCGGAGGAACACCAGUGGCGAAGGCGGCUCACUGGCUCGAUACUGACGCUGAGGUGCGAAAGCGUGGGGAGCAAACAGGAUUAGAUA
This 279-nucleotide ribosomal RNA is filed under the name uncultured bacterium. Its description in RNAcentral is "partial 16S ribosomal RNA". It matches the Rfam family "Bacterial small subunit ribosomal RNA", at positions 506 to 784 of the family's 1533-position model. The record is from RNAcentral.